CAGUAGCCGCGGGAAUACAGAGGGUGCGAGCGUUAAUCGGAUUUACUGGGCGUAAAGCGUGCGUAGGCGGCUUCUUAAGUCGGAUGUGAAAUCCCUGAGCUUAACUUAGGAAUUGCAUUCGAUACUGGGAAGCUAGAGUAUGGGAGAGGAUGGUAGAAUUCCAGGUGUAGCGGUGAAAUGCGUAGAGAUCUGGAGGAAUACCGAUGGCGAAGGCAGCCAUCUGGCCUAAUACUGACGCUGAGGUACGAAAGCAUGGGGAGCAAACAGGAUUGGAUACCCGCGUAGUCCCUGUCUCUUAUAC
Molecule: ribosomal RNA, 301 nt
Filed under: uncultured bacterium
Lineage: Bacteria
Description: partial 16S ribosomal RNA
Rfam family: Bacterial small subunit ribosomal RNA
Source: RNAcentral